Molecule: ribosomal RNA, 230 nt
Filed under: uncultured bacterium
Lineage: Bacteria
Description: partial 16S ribosomal RNA
Rfam family: Bacterial small subunit ribosomal RNA
Source: RNAcentral
AAAGCGCACGUAGGCGGCUUUGUAAGUUAGAGGUGAAAGCCUGGAGCUCAACUCCAGAAUUGCCUUUAAGACUGCAUCGCUUGAAUCCAGGAGAGGUGAGUGGAAUUCCGAGUGUAGAGGUGAAAUUCGUAGAUAUUCGGAAGAACACCAGUGGCGAAGGCGGCUCACUGGACUGGUAUUGACGCUGAGGUGCGAAAGCGUGGGGAGCAAACAGGAUUAGAUACCCGUGU